CACUCCUACGGGAGGCAGCAGUGGGGAAUAUUGAACAAUGGGCGCAAGCCUGAUCCAGCCAUGCCGCGUGAGUGAUGAAGGCCCCAGGGUUGUAAAGCUCUUUCACCGGUGAAGAUAAUGACGGUAACCGGAAAAGAAGCCCCGGCUAACUUCGUUCCAGCAGCCGCGGUAAUACGAAGGGGGCUAGCGUUGUUCGGAUUUACUGGGCGUAAAGCGCACGUAGGCGGACUAUUAAGUCAGGGGUGAAAUCCCGGGGCUCAACCCCGGAACUGCAUUUGAUACUGGUAGUCUUGAGUGCGAGAGAGGUGAGUGGAAUUCCGAGUGUAGAGGUGAAAUUCGUAGAGAUUCGGAGGAACACCAGUGGCGAAGGCGGCUAACUGGCUCGAUACUGACGCUGAGGUGCGAAAGCGUGGGGAGCAAACAGGAUUAGAAACCCCAGUAGUCCCA
Molecule: ribosomal RNA, 447 nt
Filed under: uncultured organism
Description: partial 16S ribosomal RNA
Rfam family: Bacterial small subunit ribosomal RNA
Source: RNAcentral